RNAcentral lists this ribosomal RNA (118 nucleotides) under Microcebus murinus (gray mouse lemur). Lineage: Eukaryota; Metazoa; Chordata; Mammalia; Primates; Cheirogaleidae. The record is from RNAcentral.
UUUUACGGCCAUAACACCCUGAACACGCCCGAUCUCCUCUGAUCUUAGAAGCUGCUCAAGGCCGGGCCUGAUCAGUGCGUGAACGGGAGAAGGGCGCAUACUGGAGCCAGAGUGAAGC